CAGUUUAGAUCCAAUUACAGGAGACAGAUUUUAAAUGUUCUAUCUAGCUAACUAAGUAUAGUUUCCUGAUAUCUGCAUCACAAAAGAGCUAAAGAUAAUCCCUGGGGCUAUACACCGGAGUUGACAAGCUCCUCCCUCUACAGGAAGGAAAUGUAGCACAACUAAAAGGGCAGAAAACAAAGCCGAAGAAAGAAAUGCCCAGUAGAGAGCAGAACUGGAAUACCAUGAGAGAAUGCUGGUAGACCUGCAGCAUGAGAGAUAGAAAUGGCCAACAACUUGGGGACUUACAAGCAAGAAAAUGAGCAAACAACAGCAAAGAAAGCUCUUGACCUGAAAAAUUCCUACAGGGGAAAAAUAAAGAAGAGUUCAAAACAGUUUUAGAAAGAAAACCAGAAAUGAAGGGAUAAUUUGCUUCUCUAACAUCCUAAACAACAGAACUGCAAAAGUGAAUAAAUUCAGACAGCAACAACUACAGCAACAGAAUGAUAACAGAAAGAUCAGUAAGAGACUUCUUUCUAAAUAAACACAAGGAUACAGGUUGAAGGCAGAAAUCUGGUAGAGGUAAUGGUGAAGAAACAGAACAUUAUGGACAGAAUAUGGUAAUAUCAUCUACAGGCGAAUGCUCCUUUUGUGGGACCACAGUACAACAUGGAAGGCUACACUAACAAUGAAGGUGCUGGAAGUCAGAUGCUUGUUAGGUUCCUGCAUUUCCAGAAUGUCACGAGACCAUAAGAGGACCAUAUCAGAGAGAGCCAGGAUGGCUACAGCUGGAAAAAGUGGGCUUUCUACAGAAGGAGCAGUCCUAGACUCCUUCAGGGAAGUCAGAGACCUCUCUCUAUGCAGCUUAUUCUCAACACGUUCUACCCUCCCUUAGCAGCCAGGAAAAGAAAUGAGCUGAGAUGGGAAGAGGCCUUCAGCAACUGUUCUUCUAUGGGAAUACAAAUAAAAUAUA
This 952-nucleotide long non-coding RNA is filed under the name Monodelphis domestica (gray short-tailed opossum). Its description in RNAcentral is "lncRNA (ENSMODG00000033266.2)". The record is from RNAcentral. Lineage: Eukaryota; Metazoa; Chordata; Mammalia; Didelphimorphia; Didelphidae.